GAGGAUAUAGCUCAGCUGGUAGAGUGCUUGCCUAGCAUGCAUAAGGCCCUGGGUUCAAUCCCCAGCACCAUCA
Molecule: non-coding RNA, 73 nt
Organism: Ictidomys tridecemlineatus (thirteen-lined ground squirrel)
Lineage: Eukaryota; Metazoa; Chordata; Mammalia; Rodentia; Sciuridae
Source: Rfam